UGGGGAAUAUUGCACAAUGGGCGCAAGCCUGAUGCAGCCAUGCCGCGUGUAUGAAGAAGGCCUUCGGGUUGUAAAGUACUUUCAGCGGGGAGGAAGGGAGUAAAGUUAAUACCUUUGCUCAUUGACGUUACCCGCAGAAGAAGCACCGGCUAACUCCGUGCCAGCAGCCGCGGUAAUACGGAGGGUGCAAGCGUUAAUCGGAAUUACUGGGCGUAAAGCGCACGCAGGCGGUUUGUUAAGUCAGAUGUGAAAUCCCCGGGCUCAACCUGGGAACUGCAUCUGAUACUGGCAGGCUAGAGUCUGUUAGAGGGGGGUAGAAUUCCAGGUGUAGCGGUGAAAUGCGUAGAGAUCUGGAGGAAUACCGGUGGCGAAGGCGGCCCCCUGGACAAAGACUGACGCUCAGGUGCGAAAGCGUGGGGAGCAAACAGG
This 429-nucleotide ribosomal RNA is filed under the name Chloroflexota bacterium. RNAcentral describes it as "Chloroflexi bacterium partial 16S ribosomal RNA". It matches the Rfam family "Bacterial small subunit ribosomal RNA", at positions 355 to 776 of the family's 1533-position model. Lineage: Bacteria; Bacillati; Chloroflexota. The record is from RNAcentral.